AGAGCGAACGCUGGCGGCAGGCCUAAUACAUGCAAGUCGAGCGGUCCCUUCGGGGGCAGCGGCGGACGGGUGAGUAACGCGUGGGAACGUGCCCUUUGGUACGGAACAACUGAGGGAAACUUCAGCUAAUACCGUAUGUGCCCUUCGGGGGAAAGAUUUAUCGCCAUUGGAGCGGCCCGCGUUGGAUUAGGUAGUUGGUGAGGUAAAGGCUCACCAAGCCUACGAUCCAUAGCUGGUCUGAGAGGAUGAUCAGCCACACUGGGACUGAGACACGGCCCAGACUCCUACGGGAGGCAGCAGUAGGGAAUCUUGCGCAAUGGGCAAAGCCUGACGCAGCCAUGCCGCGUGAAUGAUGAAGGUCUUAGGAUUGUAAAAUUCUUUCACCGGGGA
Molecule: ribosomal RNA, 390 nt
Filed under: uncultured soil bacterium
Lineage: Bacteria
Description: bacterial SSU rRNA
Rfam family: Bacterial small subunit ribosomal RNA
Source: RNAcentral